AUUGAACGCUGGCGGCAUGCUUUACACAUGCAAGUCGAACGGUAACAGGCCUUCGGGUGCUGACGAGUGGCGAACGGGUGAGUAAUGCAUCGGAACGUACCCAGAGGUGGGGGAUAACGCAGCGAAAGCUGUGCUAAUACCGCAUGUGAUCUGAGGAUGAAAGCGGGGGACCGAGCAGCAAUGUUUGGCCUCGCGCCUUUGGAGCGGCCGAUGUCGGAUUAGCUAGUUGGUGGGGUAAAGGCCUACCAAGGCGACGAUCCGUAGCUGGUCUGAGAGGACGACCAGCCAAACUGGGGCGGGGGCACGGCCCAGAACCCCGCGGGGGGCAGGCGUGGGGAAUUUUGGGCCAAGGGGGGAAGGCUGAAUCCGGAAAGGCGGGGGGGGGAAGAAGGGCUUCGGGUUUGUAAACGGUUUUGGCAGGAACGAAACGGUGUCCGCUAAUACCGGGCGCUAAUGACGGUACCUGCAGAAUAAGCACCGGCUAACUACGUG
Molecule: ribosomal RNA, 492 nt
Filed under: uncultured bacterium
Lineage: Bacteria
Description: partial 16S ribosomal RNA
Rfam family: Bacterial small subunit ribosomal RNA
Source: RNAcentral